GACGAACGCUGGCGGCGUGCUUAACACAUGCAAGUCGAACGGAAAGGCCCCUUUGGGGAUCCUCGAGUGGCGAACGGGUGAGUAACACGUGAGUAACCUGCCCUUGACUUCGGGAUAACUUCAGGAAACUGGGGCUAAUACCGGAUAGGAAUCCUUGCUGCAUGGUGGGGGUUGGAAAGCUUCGGCGGUUUUGGAUGGACUCGCGGCUUAUCAGCUUGUUGGUGGGGUAGUGGCUUACCAAGGCUUUGACGGGUAGCCGGCCUGAGAGGGCGACCGGCCACAUUGGGACUGAGAUACGGCCCAGACUCCUACGGGAGGCAGCAGUGGGGAAUAUUGCACAAUGGGCGGAAGCCUGAUGCAGCAACGCCGCGUGCGGGAUGACGGCCUUCGGGUUGUAAACCGCUUUCAGCAGGGGCGAAGCUUGUGGUGACGGUACCUGCAGAAGAAGCACCGGCUAACUACGUG
RNAcentral lists this ribosomal RNA (465 nucleotides) under uncultured bacterium. RNAcentral's name for it is "partial 16S ribosomal RNA". It matches the Rfam family "Bacterial small subunit ribosomal RNA", at positions 28 to 507 of the family's 1533-position model. The record is from RNAcentral.